RNAcentral lists this long non-coding RNA (314 nucleotides) under Manihot esculenta (cassava). RNAcentral's name for it is "long non-coding RNA (MESC_LNC010651)". The record is from RNAcentral. Lineage: Eukaryota; Viridiplantae; Streptophyta; Magnoliopsida; Malpighiales; Euphorbiaceae.
AAAGAUCGAAUAGGCGGAGAAGAAGUGCCAAACUCAACUCCGGGGAUUGAGACUCAAAGUAAAUAAUUGAUUUGAGUUUCUAUGACCCCUAAUCAUUUGAUUCUUGUUUGGAAUCUCAAAUUUUGAGUGGAUUCAAAUUUAAUUCUUUUUUCUUAACUUUUGUGGGUUAAGAAUUUAAUUCUUAAUUUUAAAUUUUGGUGAGAAUUAAUUUUGAAUUAAAAAUAAAUCUUGUUUUUUUUUAUCAAAAUUAUAUAAUUAGUUCUUUUGAGAAUCUUAUUUUUUUUCCUUUCUUUUAUUUUUUAUUUUAAUUUUAA